AGCGGAAAGUUUAGUGAACCUUAUCACUUAGAGGAAGGAGAAGUCGUAACAAGGUUUCCGUAGGUGAACCUGCGGAAGGAUCAUUC
Molecule: ribosomal RNA, 86 nt
Filed under: Karlodinium veneficum
Lineage: Eukaryota; Dinophyceae; Gymnodiniales; Kareniaceae
Description: partial small subunit ribosomal RNA
Rfam family: Eukaryotic small subunit ribosomal RNA
Source: RNAcentral